GUCGGUUAGUCGGGGUGCGAAAAUCGCUGAGAAAUACCCGUGAACCUGAAGCAGUUAGCACUGACGUAGGAAACUAAUCUCCUCUUCCU
Molecule: non-coding RNA, 89 nt
Filed under: Rodentibacter rarus
Lineage: Bacteria; Pseudomonadati; Pseudomonadota; Gammaproteobacteria; Pasteurellales; Pasteurellaceae
Description: TPP sequence
Rfam family: TPP riboswitch aptamer (THI element)
About the family: Vitamin B(1) in its active form thiamin pyrophosphate (TPP) is an essential coenzyme that is synthesised by coupling of pyrimidine and thiazole moieties in bacteria. The previously detected thiamin-regulatory element, thi box was extended, resulting in a new, highly conserved RNA secondary structure, the THI element, which is widely distributed in eubacteria and also occurs in some archaea.
Source: RNAcentral